RNAcentral lists this unclassified non-coding RNA (350 nucleotides) under soil metagenome. Its description in RNAcentral is "partial contains 5.8S ribosomal RNA, internal transcribed spacer 2, and large subunit ribosomal RNA". The stretch from base 1 to 120 matches the Rfam family "5.8S ribosomal RNA", at positions 35 to 154 of the family's 154-position model. The record is from RNAcentral.
GAUGAAGAACGCAGUGAAAUGCGAUAAGUAAUGUGAAUUGCAGAAUUCAGCGAAUCAUCGAAUCUUUGAACGCACAUUGCGCCCCCCGGCAUUCCGGGGGGCAUGCCUGUCCGAGCGUCAUUGCACCCCUCGAGCCCGCGCGGGUUUCGGUGUUGGGCCGCCGUCCCCCGGGGGGGGGGACGGGCCCGAAAGGCAGUGGCGGCCCCGGGGCGACUUCCCGCGCGAUCGCAGCACCUCGCGGCCGAAGCGUUCGCCCCGCGGGCCCGCCUGGACCACCAGUGUGACGUACCGGUUGACCUCGGAUCAGGCAGGGAUACCCGCUGAACUUAAGCAUAUCAAUAAGCGGAGGA